This 253-nucleotide ribosomal RNA is filed under the name uncultured bacterium. RNAcentral describes it as "partial 16S ribosomal RNA". It matches the Rfam family "Bacterial small subunit ribosomal RNA", at positions 524 to 776 of the family's 1533-position model. The record is from RNAcentral.
UACGUAGGGUGCGAGCGUUAUCCGGAAUUACUGGGCGUAAAGCGUGCGUAGGCGGACUUUUAAGUCGAAUGUUAAAUCUGCAGGCUCAACUUGCGGGCUGCAUUCGAUACUGGGAGUCUUGAGAGUGGAAGAGGCAGACGGAAUUUCCGGUGGAGCGGUUAAAUGCGUAGAUAUCGGAAAGAACACCAAUGGCGAAGGCAGUCUGCUGGGCCAUUUCUGACGCUAAGGCACGAAAGCGUGGGGAGCGAUCGGG